ACUUGGUGGAUUAAGACUUCUGACGAUUUGUAUACUUGGAAGGCUGAUUUAAGUGCUCGAAUUGUAUAGAUUACCGUUCAUUCAUAUGUAUCUUUUAUAUGACAGAUUUCUCCUGUUAAUUUCAUGUUUAGCUUGCUAAUGUAUACGUUAGUUUAUAUGUUUGGCCACGUAGUAGCAGCAUUUGAAACUUGGUGGAUUAAGGACUUCUGACGAUUUGUAUAACUGGACUGUUCUUUCCCUAAUGUACUAGUUUGUUUUCAGUUAGAGUAUUUUGACUAGUUGGAACUUAAAGGAAUGCUAAUUGGAAUUACAGUGUUAGUGCAUAUGUAGGCUCAUGACUUCUGUUGAUCAAGUGACUAGUCAUGUAUUUCAUUAAGCUUGAGAAUUUAAUAGCUCCACAUGAUUUGCUUUCAGUGGUGUAUUUCAGGCCGAGUAGUUGUUAGCAUGUAAAAUAAUCUCAACAGUCUUCAAUUUCAAUUUAUGCCUUAUGUAAAUUAGAUUUAAGUCAUGUCAUUAGCUCAUCAAUUGCAGCAUUACGCGUUCUAAAAUCAGUUAGCAUAGCAAUAUAAAUUUCAAUUUAGUUCAAAAUAAAACUUGAACUGCCCUGGCCAUAAUUUUAGGCCUAAAUUGGCCCAAUCACAUGCUGCCCAGAACGUCAUAUAGCCCAUCUCAGGCUGUUUAAUUCCACUAAAGUGGAGGCUGGUCCAUAUACGGGCUUAAAGCCCAGAUUAAUAGCUUUAUUUUGUAUUGGGCGCGCUGAAGGUUUAAUCUACUCAUUAAAGUUUUGGAAGUGUUGGUGGUAAAUAAUUUGAAGCAUAAAUUUCGGCCUUUGCAUUUGGUAGCGAAUUCUGAUUAAGAGGUUUUCCCCUCUUGUUUGAGUCCGACUUGAACUUGAAGCUCGAAUUUUAUAAUGCUAAUAAAUUAAGUCCUUUAGAGAUAAAUUCAAUAUAAAAUAAUAGUUUGCUCUAGGUUGGCAUUUUUAAAAAUAAAACGAGGUGUGUCGCGCCAAAUAAAACUCACAAAUUGUGUGGCCCUCAUUAAAUGUUUAUAUUAAAAUACUUAGAAUUCGGGAUGUGCCGUUUGAAAAUUUUUACAGCCUCCCGCAAAGUUGAUACCACGUUAGUCCUUUAGGCGCGCUUUUAAUAAUUUUACCUUUUUAAAUAUGGGUAUGCAUUUUAUGUGACCCAAAUCCAAAUCCCAAAACGUUGGAUAAAAUGUGUGAAGGAUCCGGGUGCAUUUCAUGUUUCAUGAUCCAAAAACAUGUUUUAAACGGCAUUCAAUUUCCUAAAAAUUAUUAAUUUAAAGUGGUAAAUAAUCCUAAAAAUGGAACUAUAGGAUUACAUGUAUUAAAAUCCGAUUUUUGGCUAAUUAUAACAGUUUAAGUGACCGUGCUAGAACCACGGGAUACGGGGGUGCCUAACACCUUCCCUCAGGUCAACAAAAUUCCUUACUCAAGAAUUUCUGGUUCGCAAACUCCAAUUGGGCAGUCGAAAAAUUUUCCUCAAUUUGGGAUUCGAAAAUAAACCGGUGACUUGGGACACCAAAAGCCAAACCUAUCCCAAGUGGUGGCUCUUAUAAAAUACUUAAUCCGAUUUCGUUUGGGAAGUCAAAAAAUUUCCUCGAUUUGGGAUUCAAAACAAACCGGUGACUUGGGACACCAAAAGCCAAACCUAUCCCAAGUGGCGACUCUGAACAAAUAAAUAAUCCCAUUUCGAAUAAUGUCACUUAAAUUAAAAAAACUCCCGUAUACAUUUACCCAUCGGGGUAGCCAUGUAAAAAGGAGGUGUGACAGCUUUGGUGACUCUGCUGGGGAUGAACCCAGAAUCUCUGAUUCAGGGUUUAAGAAUUCGAGCUUAGAAUAGCUGUUAUGAUUGGCUUUUAUCUGAUUUCCUACAUAUUUCAUCCUAAUGUACUAAAUGCUAUACUGCUUCGAUAUUUGGUGUAUUGUACAUAUAAACUGCUGCGAAACCCUUCCUCCCUCUAAGUCUUCUGAAAAUGGUGCAUAUGUUCGCGUAACCUGAUUUUUUUGUAGAAAAUAUACCAAAUAAGAAGGGGCUGGGCAAGCAACAAGGCCGGGCAGACUUUCGUGCUCCCGGUAUGUUUCACCUUCCUCGGCCCCAGUUGUCUGUUCGGGUACCACAGGUCUAGAACAAUAAACCCAGGUUUCAAAUCUUGGAUAACUCGACCUCAUGUUGGAUCCCUAGCAGGAAUGUUUGUUUGCAUCAUCUGCAUUUGACUUAGGGGACUCAAUACAGGGGUUGGGUCCGUCUACGACAGGUGUACCCAAAUUAAAGGACCAUCCUGAUGCAUCUUACAUGCUACUCGUGCAUUUAUUUGCUCGGCUUUGCAUGUUGACUGGCUUGUAAAUAAUGGGAGAAAUUUGAAAAGAAAAAGAGAGAAUUUAGAAAAUCUGUCAAAUCUGCCCGAACUAUGCUAGUUUGAUUCUUGCCGGAUGUAGGAUACGUAGGCAAACUCCAUCGGGUCCAACUUCCCUUUUUGAAUAAUAUAACCCGAAAAGCAACAAAAUUUUACUUUGUUUCGCCACAAAUAAGUCAGGUGAUGCCAUUCUUGUCUUGAAAAAAAAACUAAAUGAUGUAAUUUUCUUCCUUCGGGGUCACAAUCAGUUUUUUUCAAAUCACCCGUAAUAAAUGUGUAGGAUGAGGACAAAUGAAAUUGAACCCUUCACGACCCUUAAAAAGAUCCCUUGAAGCUCCAUAUAUGGUGGGAUGACUUAGGAACGGGCAGAAAAGAAAUAGUGAAAAGAGUCCUGGGAGGCCUCGUCGAUUUAUUAAAAGUCAAGCCAAGGUUGGACAUAGUUGAUGCUUGAUACCCUUUUGGGACCCCACUCACAAUGUAUUUUAUUUCUCUGAUUUUAAGCUCACACCGACGUUGGAAGAAAUAGGUGGUUAUGCCGGCUUAAAUGAAAAUCUCAGAAGCCUCUAUCCGUUGGCACCAAGAUCGGCAACUACCCACAGAUUCCUAGACUUGUUAAGUAUUAGUCGGAAUGUUCGGGGCAGAAAUAUAUCGAAAGGGUAUUGCACACUCUAGUUCAUGUAUCAUCGAUAUGGAAACCCCUAAGGUUUUGAAGAGCCGAACACCGGCCUAACCCAUGCUGGAAAUAGAGACAAGUGGGAGGCAAAGCGGGGCUUAGCUUUCAUGGUAGCUUUCUUAGGAGUUGUGGCUUGUCCUCGAAGAGAUGAUCAUAUAGAGAUCGACCAUGUAAAAAUGUUGGAUGUCGCAAUCAAAAACGCUACCAGUAUGGUGGUUCCGCUAAUUGUGUCUGAAAUCUAUCGAGCCCUCACGAUAUGCCGAGAAGGGGGAAAAUUCUUCCAAGGCUGCAAUUUGUCGCUACAACUAUGGAUACAAGAGCAUCUCUGUCACCAAACUGGGUAUGUGAGUUAUGGUUUGACCGGGUGGAGCUGUAUUGAAGAAUUUAAUACCCGGGUAAUAGGUAUUGACUUCCCUGAGGGCACCGAGGCUUGGAUAUCAUGUUUGAGAUCUUUGACCACUGAUAAAAUCGAGUGGGUUUUUGUAUGGCUCCCUGGUUCUGAGGCAGUAUGCACAUCAGCUGAAGUACCUUAUAUUCUCUUGAUGGGCAUCUGGAGCAUCCAGCCUUAUGCUCCCUACAGGGGUUUUCACCUACUGGGAAGAUUCCAAACCAAUCACAGUGAUGAAGACAUGAGUAAACAACUCAUCGAACUAGGCCCAAAGGCCGCAUUCCCAGAAGGAAAGAUUUGCCAAACAUGGAAUAAGUGCAGGUUUCUUGAGCUUAAAACCAUAGUGCGAGAUUGAGCCAGGGGCGAAGUAGACUCCAAGUACAUGGUUUGGUUUAGCGAGAGGUUCCAGGUUCCUCAAAGGCCCGCAAAGAGGCCACAUGUCACUGAUGUGGAUCAGGUGCAAUGGGAUUGGUUAGCCAAAAAGAGUGAAUACAGGAUCAGAAUAGGAGAGUUGGAAAAGCAUAUUCGGGACCUCCAGUUCCAAAACAGCUUGCAAGCCACAACUGACGAAGGUGAAUAGAAGAAUUUGACCCAAGAAAACGAGGCUCUUAGGGCUCAGAUCCGACAAACGAAAAUAUUUGCUAACAACAAAGAAAAAAGCCGGGCCGAUGAAAUAUUGAUAAGCGGACUGAAAAGGCAAGUCUCAGAGUGGCAACAAGACUUGGAAAAUUCAAAGAGAAUAUAGCAAAAAUCUAGGCGCAAUGGGCAAAUAAAGCAGAAGAUCGGGUCCAAUGGGUGCGACAGAUGAAGAGAAAUUAUGAAAGGUCUAUUGCCAAUCUGAAAAGAAAAAGUGAACACCCUUGAGGACGAGGUAACUAAGAAAGCCAAAGAAUUUAAAACUGAUAGGGAACACUGCAAUGACUUGAUGGCCCAAAUGGAGGAGGAACUACAACAGUUACAAACUCAACACUUUCGAGACUCUCAAGUUCUGGAAGCCAGGAAUGACCAUAUAGGGCGACUGCUUCAAGAAAAGGGUAGAAUCAGAGAGAGGAUCCUGGCCAUUGCUCAUUACAUCACUAUGAAACGCCAAGCGUGCGAUGACAUGACUCGCACCACCUUUUUUUUCGGCAGUAAUGAUAUUUUUCAAACAGAAUGAGCGACUCGGAUAGGCUUCAACGGGAUCUUGCAUAUAGGCCCGCGACGAGAUCGAACGAUGUCCCGCAGGCACCAGGAAUUUUAAUGUAUUCAUGAUUUUCAUAUUGAGUCUGUAUUUCCUUCAGAGUCUGUACUUUUUCUCCGCUAGAGUUUGUCAAGUUGUUCAAAUCUGCAUUUUCUUUUGAAGAAAGUUAUUUGAAUUUGGAGUCUGUAUUUAGCUUGUUCAUGAUUUAAUAUGUUAGCAUUGAGUCUUUGUAAUCAAAGUAUUUGCCAUCUAUGAAAUUCAAAAAUCUCAAAAUAUUUUGUUUCUAUUCACAUUUAUUUAUCACGAACUACGCUCGGUUUGAUUCAUGUGGGGUCAUGAUACGUAGGCAAUCUUCAUAGGGUUCGACCUUAACCCUAAAAAGAGAAAAAGAAAGAAAAAUAAAAGAGGGAAAUGAUAAGAAAAAAGAAAGAAAAGAGAGGAAAGAAAAUAAGACUGAAACAUGAAAAAAAGAAAAUGAGAAGAUCGAGAGAGAUAGAGAGAUUAGGGAAAAAGAAAAGGCAAACAAAAAAGAAAAGAAAAGAAACAAGAGAGAAAAUCAAGUGGGUGAGGAAAGCCGAGAUGACGCAUGCAAUCAAUGCAAAUCAUGUAGAAACUCAUUUAACUGUAUAGGUGCAUCAGACCCCAACGUGCGAUUACCUGUCUGUUAUUUGUCUCAAACUAAUCGUUUGCUAAUGUCAAUUCCUAGUCCCAGUCUGGGUUUUAUUGAAACGGUGUUUAGUUCUUGGUACACUGGCUUCACAUCCCUACUUCACCAGAUUAAAGGGCAGCAUAGAAAUGUCUUCAGAAAUCACUUUGCCAGUAAUUCCUAUCACGGACGAAAGCCCAACCUUAGGCAUUCCGGCAUCAGAGUUCGCAACCACUGAGGAGAAUCAGUUAUUGCGUCUCCGCAUGAUAGAGAUGUGGGACGCCUGGUCGAAUAGGAAAGAGCUGCCUAGUGCAAUUCUUGAGCUUUUCCCUAGAAUGAGGGGAACGUCCACCGUCCUAAUCAGUCAUCCAAGCAUCCCACUAGGACACCCAACCAUCUCGGCUCAUUUUGUGGGAGCACCUUCAGAGGUUCAUCCCCAGACAGCUAUAUCUAAUGCAAUCCCAAACAUCUAUACUACCCCACCAUGCGCAGCUAUAACACAACCCACAUUGCCAAGGCCUGUCUUUGGUCCAUCAACUUUCACAUUUCAAACACUCACUCCCUAAAUGGAGCCUCCUCAGUAUCCCAACUAUACUUAUUCACAGCCACAUCCAUUUGAGUUCACAACGGGACAGGAAAAGACCUCGAAAACUCCGGAACAUGAAGAAAUGGAAAACGAGAAUGAGGAAUCUGGAGCAAAGCCUCAAAAACAUGCAGGGGUUAAGUGGACAGAAAAGUGUAUUUUUGCAUGUUCCCUCAUGUGCAGCUACCGGUAGGAUUCAAAACUCCGAAGUUCGAAAAGCACGAUGGGCAUGGUGAUCCUAUUGCUCAUCUUAAGAAAUAUUGUAACCAAUUGCGCGGAGCUGGAGAAAAAGAAGAAUGGCUAAUGGCUAACUUUGGGGAAAGCUUAGUGUGUAUCGCCUCCAAAUGGUAUAUGGAUCAGGAUAUCUCUAGGUGGCACAUCUGGGAUGAUCUUGCAAGAGACUUAGUUUGGCAGUUCCAAUACAAUAUUCACAUUGCUCCAGGCUGGAACUCGCUGGCGAAUCUAAAGAAGAAGCCUUUAGAAAGUUUUCGCGAAAAUGCGAUCAAAUGGCAGGAACAAGCAUCAAGGGUAAAACCUCCAAUGGAUGAAGUGGAGAUGGUCAAUGUAUUUCUUCAGGCUCAGGAGGCCGAUUAUUUCCAAACUAUGAUGUCAGCCAUGGGCAAGCCAUUUGCAGAAGCCAUUAAAAUUGGUGAGACGGUAUAGAAUGGACUGAAAACUGGAGGGAUUUUGAGCCAAUCAGCUAUUAGGGUGACCUCCCAAGCCAUCCCAGGUAGGUAUAGAGGGAUGACAAAAAGCAAUAAGAAAGAAGAAACAACCAUGGCGGCAUCAGGUACAAGGAGACACUGCACUCCUAGACCCAUGUUCUCAAAUGGACUCCUCCCCCCGUCUACGACAGGUGUACCCAAAUUAAAGGACCAUCCUGAUGCAUCUUACAUGCUACUCGUGCAUUUAUUUGCUCGGCUUUGCAUGUUGACUGGCUUGUAAAUAAUGGGAGAAAUUUGAAAAGAAAAAGAGAGAAUUUAGAAAAUCUGUCAAAUCUGCCCGAACUAUGCUAGUUUGAUUCUUGCCGGAUGUAGGAUACGUAGGCAAACUCCAUCGGGUCCAACUUCCCUUUUUGAAUAAUAUAACCCGAAAAGCAACAAAAUUUUACUUUGUUUCGCCACAAAUAAGUCAGGUGAUGCCAUUCUUGUCUUGAAAAAAAAACUAAAUGAUGUAAUUUUCUUCCUUCGGGGUCACAAUCAGUUUUUUUCAAAUCACCCGUAAUAAAUGUGUAGGAUGAGGACAAAUGAAAUUGAACCCUUCACGACCCUUAAAAAGAUCCCUUGAAGCUCCAUAUAUGGUGGGAUGACUUAGGAACGGGCAGAAAAGAAAUAGUGAAAAGAGUCCUGGGAGGCCUCGUCGAUUUAUUAGCCCAACCUUUUGCAUGGCCACAACAGCAUGCCAACAGAAACCAAGCCUCGUAUCCCAGAAAUCAGCCUCCUCUACGAAAUCACUGUAAUCAUCGCCUUCCACAUAAUAAUUUUCCUCGUGAGCUGUCCAGGAGGCAAACGUUUACUCCAAUUGAUGAGUCCUACUCAAAUCUGUUUCCAAAAUUGGUCCAAAUGGGUUUGUUGCAACCCGUUCCCUAGACAAGACAAAACCUAACAUCACCCGUAUAUAGAGCCGGCGUCAGAUGUGCCUAUCAUUCAGGGGUACAAGGGAACGACAUGGAUGAUUGUUGGACCCGGAAAAGAGAUAUGGAGAACCUGAUAGAGCAAGGAAAAAUAGUUCUAAGGGAUGAGGAUGUCCCCAACGUAACUAAUAAUCCAUUUCCAUCCCACAACAACGGGCUCGUGAUUGGGAUGAUUGUUGAAGAUAAAGAACUUGAUCCCACGCUAAUAGCCAUAAUCACCAUCGUAGAUGCAAAGAAAAGGACAAAAAGCGCUCCAAAGCAAGAUAAAGAGGAAAAUAAGGGCAAAGUCAUCAACACAGAACCAGAAAAGAAAGUUGAAGUAAGCAGGGAGGUGAUGCCUCCCACAGAUGGGAUCCUUUAUGAGCCACGAGACCGAAAAGAGAAGCAUCAAACUUUAAUCCCUUUGAAGAGGUUUGAACUAAAUAAGGCAACCCAAAUGUACGUACCCAAAUGGGCAUAUGUGGUACGGGGGACAAUUAAGCCAUUGAGGCCAAACGAGCCCGUGGUUAUUGGACGUGUACCACAACAUCCAAUGUCAGACCCUACUGCAGUGCCAUGCAAUUAUCAUAAAACAAAGAUCACGUACAAAGGCAAAGAAAUUUCAGGGGAGCCUCAAGAAAACCAUCCUAAGAAGUACUCUAACAUAGAAGAGGUAAACAAUGCUACUAGAAAGUGCUUCCCGUCCAAGAAAUCUAUAAGUCCUGAAGAGGCAGAAGCUUUCUUCUAGAAAAUGAAGAUGAUAGACUACGAAGUGGUUGAUUAGCUACACAAUUAUCCUGAACAAAUGUCGUUGCUCUCAUUGCUGAUGAAGUCUCCUGAACAUUAAAAGGUUUUAAUGAAGACCCUGAAUGAAGCCUAUGUGCCAGCUGAAACGAAAGUGGAACAGUUAGAAAGAAUGGCAGAAAAAAUUCUUCGGCAUCAAUCAAAUUGCAUUCAGCAAGGCUGAUUUGCCCCCGGAUGGGGCCGCUCACAACAAAGCGUUGCAUUUAACUAUAAAAUGUGUGGGGUAUUAUGUGAAGAGAGUCAUGGUAGACAGAGGCUUAGGAGUAGACAUUUGCCCACUCUCUACACUCCAGCGGAUGGAAAUAGGGACGGUAAGGAUCCGCCCCAAUAAUGUUUGUGUGCAAGGUUUUGACGGUAUUAAGAGGGACACAAUCGGGGAAAUUGAUCUGAUUCGGACCAUUCGCCCGGUGGAUUUUGAAGUAACCUUCCAAGGGUUGGACAUGGACACAUCCUACAACUACCUUCUAGGGAGGCCUUGGAUCCACACAGCCAGAGUUGUACCCUCUACUCUCCAUCAAAUGUUGAAAUAUGAGCAUGAAAAUCAAGAGAUUGUAGUCCACGGAGAGGAUGAACAAUCAAUCUAUCGGGACUCAUCUGUCCCAUGUCUUGAGGCAAGAGAGGGCAGUGAGCACAUAGUGUAUCAGGCUUUUGAAAUUGUGGUAGCCGACCAUCAUGAAAAAGGAAAACCCUGCCCUCAACCCUUCCUCUCCAAUGCGUCCCUCAUGGUGGCCAAAGAGAUGAUACGACACAGAUAUAAGCUAGGAAAAGGGUUGGGAAGAACUCUGCAAGGGGUGGUCGAUCCAAUCACCUUGCCUACUACUGAGAACUUCUUUGGUUUAGGUUUCCAUCCGACUCCGAAUGAUAGGAAAUGGGCAAGAGAGAGACAGCGCAAGGGGUGGGUCCUACCUCAACAACUGCCACAUUUGUAUGAAACCAUUGUCAAACCAAAGUAUAGUGAAGAAGAUGAGGAGGAUGAGGUCUUCACGGCUGAAGAGAUUGAAGAGAUAUAUGGUGCGAUGAGAGAACUGCUAUAUGAAGCCCACAUGGUUCAAUCGGGAGAGGGAACAAGCACUGCUGAUUUAUCAGUUCCUUGGCCAUUCGCAUCUUGGGGCAUGGACGUUAUUGGGCUGAUUGAGACAAAAGCCUCAAAUGGGCACAGAUUCAUACUGGUUGCCAUUGAUUAUUUCACAAAAUGUGUCAAAGCCAUCACUCUUAAAUUGGUGACCAAGAAAGUUGUGGUGGAUUUUGCGCAUGCUAAUCUCAUUUACCAUUUUGGCAUCCCAGCCACUAUAAUCACGGACAACGCUGCAAACUUGAAUAGCCGAUUAAUGGGAGAGAUAUGCAUACAAUUCAAAAUAACAUCGAACCUCCACACCCUACCGGCCCAAAGCCAAUGGUGUUGUUAAAGCUGCAAACAAAAAUAUCAAGAAAAUUUUGAGAAAGAUGAUUCAAAACUCCCGGAAAUGGCAAGAUACCUUUUGCAAUAUUGGGAUAUCGCACAAUCGUGCGCACAUCAAAUGGAGCAACUCUUUAUCUUUUGGUCUACGGAACUGAGGCAGUAAUACCUGCGGAAGUGGAAAUCCCGUCUCUCCGAAUCAUUUUUGAAGCUGAGAUUGAAGACACUGAGUGGGUCAAGACUUGUCUGAAUAGUUGGCCCUAAUUGAUGAAAAACGAAUGGAUGCGGUCUACCACGGGCAGUUGUACCAACAAAGAAUGGCUCGUGCUUAUAACAAGAAAGUACGCCCCGGGAAUUUUGAGAUUGUACAGCUUGUAUUAAGGCCCAUUCUCCCUCACCAUCAGGAAGCGAAAGGUUAAUUUGCUCCGAAUUGGAAAGGCUCGUACAUCAUCAGAAAGAUAUUACCGAAAGAAGCAUUGUACCUGGUCGACAUUGAAGGGGGUGAUCCCGAAGUAGCAGUGAAUGCAGACACAGUAAAAAGGUACUAUGUUUAGGCUCCUUGUGACAAUGAUCAGUCAGGUUGAGAUGAUGAAGGCUUUUAUUCUCGCUACCCAAACACUUUCAACCUUGGUAAACCAAUUUGAGCUGGUUACUUUUCUUUGACCACCCUCUUUGGAACCUGGAAAUGUAAUUCAAAAAUAAAAAAAUAAAAAAACAAAAAGAAAAACAAAAGAAAGAAAAAGAAAGAAAAAGAAAAAUGAGAAACAAAAAAACAUUUAUAGUUUAGGAAACACUCCUGAACUACGUCUGACUUGAUUCCGAAAGGAUACGUGGGCAGCCUCUUUGUGGGGUUCAGUCACACCGAAAUAAAAAUCCAAAAUCCCCAAAGAAGUGAAAUUGUGGCAGAUGAUUUAAUGGCUCAGCCACUAGCCCACCAAAAUGGUCCCAAAAUUGUAAUUCAAUCCAAAAUGCUUUUUACCCAAAAGUCCUUGUUCAAGUCUUUCCGAUCGAUUGGCAAAGGCAUGGGAGUUUGAAAACCAUCACUGUUGGAAUUUAGUGCAGUCCAAAUUUAGAGAAAUAAAAUGAGAGAGUCUUAUCGGUAAAAACCUAUUGGCACCAUAAGGCGACGGUGAGUAGAGAAAUGGAAAAUGAGAGAGUUCGUUCGGUGAAAACUCAUCAAAAGCACCAUCGGGCGACGGUGAGAAGAGAAAUGAGAGAGGUCGAUUGGAGAAAACCCGCAAAGGGCAUCGUCGGCCGAAAAGAAGGCACCUCCCAUCACUGAAGGAGUCUUAGAAAGGUUUCUUGAUUUUGAAAAAAGGGUCAAUGAGCUUAUGAGAAGUUGAGGAAGCUUGUGCGGGUCGGCCAUCCAGUCCAAGGGGCAUGUCAUGUCCAUUUGAAGCUUGCAUGCAUUCCCCAGAUAAAUCCUUCUUUUUCCUUGAGAGGGACGCUUCUAUUUAAAUUCAUCUCCUUUCUCUCCAUUUACCCUAAAUCCCUUUCGGUCUAACUCUGAUUCCAGAACAAUUACAAAGAAAAGGUAGCAGGACUGGUUUACAGGGCCCUACCCAGCAAAAGUUAAGGAAAGAUACCCAGCCUCAGCAAGUGCAUUAAGCCGAUCCCUAACUGCCAUGAUGGUUGAUGCUUUCGAAGAAAAGAUAUGGAAAAGGAAAGAAUGUCCAAAGACAAAGGUCAUAAGAGCAGAAUAAAGUAAAAAGCCAGAGCCCUAUGCAGGCGAGUUGUCAUGAAAUUUGAAAGGUUGAGGCCCUUGGCUCGAAAGAGAAGAUGAUCUUCAAAACCAACAAGCAACAACUCCCAAUAGAAGUUGGGCCAGGAUCAAGCGAUCGAGGCCACAGAACCAACAACCGUUUCAAACUAACAAUUGUUCUUUUUUGAAAAUUGAAACAAGUGCGAUAUAAACAACCGUUCAAAAGAAGGUGCAGUCAAAAAGAGAAUGGCACUGAAACAACUUUGUAGCAAGUAAUAAAUACAAAAGGGAAGUUUCAUCCAAGUUCUUUCCUAAUCUUAUCAAAAUAAAAGGGAGAAAGAAGAUAACAAAAGAAGAAAACCCAAAAGAGCAUAUUGUAGAAUAAGAAUAAAGUGAAAAGCCAGAGCCCUGUGCGGGUGAAUUGUCAUGAUAUCUUGAAGGUUGAGGCUCUUGGCUCGAACGAGAGGAUGAUCUUCAAAACCAGCUAGUAGCAGAGGUUCAACAGAAGUUGGGCUGGGAUCAAGCAAUCAAGGCCACAGAACCAACCACCGUUUCAAACUAACAAUUGUUCUUUAUUGAAAAUUGAAAUAGGUGUGAUACGAGCAACCGUGCAAAAUCAGGUGAAAUCAAAAGAAAAUACGCGAGAGUUGAAGUAGCUUCGCAGCAAAUAAUCAAUGCAAAAGGGAAGCUUCAUCCAAGUUCUUUCCUGCAUCUUAUCAAAAUAAAAGGAAGAAAUAAGAUAACAAAAAAAGAAAACCCAAAAUAAAUAGUUUAGAAUUCCCAAUACCAACCUUUAGCCAACAUUAGGGCCCCAAUCCCUAAGUUGAGCGUUUUCCUUUUAGCCAACAUUAGGGCUCCAAUCCAUGAGUUGAGUGUUUUUCCUUUUAGCCAACAUUAGGGCUUUAAUCCCUGAGUUGAGAGUUUUUCCUUUUAGCCAACAUUAGGGCUCCAAUCCCUGAGUUGAGCAUUUUUCCUUUUAGCCAACAUUACGCUUCCAACCCAUGAGUUGAGCAUUUUUCUCUUUAGCCAACAUUAGGACUCCAAUCCCUAAGUGGAGCGUUUUCCUUUAGCCGACAUUAGGGCUCCAAUCCCUGAGUUGAUUGUUUUUCCCUUUAGCCAACAUUAGGGCUCCAAUCCCUGAGUUGAGCGUUUUCCCUUAGCUAACAUUAGGGCUCCAAUCCCUGAGUUGAGCAUUUUCCUUUGGCCACUAUUAGGGCUCCAAUCCCUGAGUUGAGCGUUUUCCCCUUAGCCAACAUUAGAGCUCCAAUCCCUGAGUUGAGCGUUUUUCCCUUUAGCUGACAUUAGGGCUCCAAUCCCUGAGUUGAGCGUUUUCCCUUAGCUAACAUUAGGGCUCCAAUCCCUGAGUUGAGCAUUUUCCUUUAGCCACUAUUAGGGCUCCAAUCCCUGAGUUGAGCGUUUUCCCCUUAGCCAACAUUAGAGCUCCAAUCCCUGAGUUGAGCGUUUUUUCCUUUUGCCAACAUUAGGGCUCCAAUCCCUGAGUUGAGUGUUUUUUCCUUUAGCCAUCGUUAGGGCUCCAAUCCCUGAGCUGAUCGUUUUUCUCUAUAGCCAACAUUAGGGCUCCUAUCCCUGAGUUGAGCGGUAUUUCCCCUUAGCCGACAUUAGGGCUCCAACCCCAGUUGAGCAUUUUUUCCUUUAGCUGACAUUAGGGCUCCAAUCCUAGAGUUGAGCAUUUUCCCUUAGCCAACAUUAGGGCUCCAAUCCCUAAGUUGAGCGUUUUCCCUUAGCCAACAUUAGGGCUCCAAUCCCUGAGUUGAGCGUUUUCCCCUUUGGCCGGUAUUCAGGCUCCAAUUCCUGAGUUGAGCAUUUUUUCCUUUAACCAACAUUAGGGCUUCAAUUCCUGAGUUGAGCGUUUUUCCUUUUAGCCAACAUUAGGACUCCAAUCCCUGAGUUGAGCGCUUUUCCCUUUAGCCGACAUUAGGGCUCCAAUCACUUAGUUGAGCAUUUUUCCCUUUACCCGGCCUUGUGGAUCCAAUCCCUAAGUUGAGCGCUUUUCCCCUUAGCCGACAUUAGGGCUCCAAUCCCUAAGUUGAGCGGUUUUUCCUUUACCCAACAUUAGGGAUCCAAUCCCUGAGUUGAGCAUUUUUCCCUUAAGCUGACAUUAGGGCUCUAAUCCUUGAGUUGAGCGUUUUUCCCUUUAGCCAACAUUAGGGCUCCAAUCCCUGAGUUGAGGAUUUUUUCCUUUUAGCCAACAUUAGGGUUCCAGUCCCUAAGUUUGCCCCAAAUUAUCUUAGCAUAGACAAAUACAAUUUUCACAAAACAAAAAAAGAGAGAGUUCAGACUUUUUUCACAAAUAACUAACGAAAUUUUCUUAGUGCAAAACUUGGGCAGAAAAUUUUGUUCGUUUGUUUGUUUUGAGCAGGAUUGACCUUGAAGCACAGGUUCCGAUACGAAUGAAAGGAUGAGUCUCAAUCCAGAAUAAAGGAAAGAAGAAAAAGAGCAAAAAGAAAGAAAUUCAAAUGCAUAAGUGAACAUGAGUGCAAGCCAGUCAAAAUUUGAUUGAAAUUACAAGCUUCGCACGACCCGCUCUGCUAAAAUGCUGAAGAAAGAGCUGGCACAUACAGCUUCCCAUCAUCAAGGUUUAGAUCAAGUCCACAGCAAAUCCGUGUGACACUCAAGAUCAAGUUUCAAGAGAUUCACAGAUAGGAAUCUUGUAACUCAUUAGUUGAUAGACAUAGCUAGCUUAGCUUUUGAUUUACUUUUUGUGUAAUAAGUAGGUCAGCAAGCAGUAGCAGCAGCGAAAUCACAGCUCCUGGUAGUCCCAGCUACCAAACCCUCCUGAACUACACCGACCUGAUUCCCUUUUAGCCGAGGAUAUGUAGGCAACCUUUGAAGCAGGGUAGGAUCGACUCUUUAAAAAAUGCUUCACACGAAGUAUUCAAACGGGUAAAAAUCGCUCGUAUUCGCUCACUUAUCUUUGCGCCAAAACUCUUUGUGUUUCCGAAUAAAGAGGGGCAGCUGUGAGCAUGUGAUUUUUGCCCUAUAUAAAUUAUUCCCAAAAAUUCAAACAAAAUGAUUUCUUUCAUUAUUUUGAAAUUUUGUUUAUUUUUGUGGCAUUUUGAUUUAAUUGUUUGCAUUUUGUUUGUGCAUUUUAAUUAAUGAAAAAAACAAAAAUAUACUUGGCAUUUGCAUUUAGGGCUUAAUUUAACAUUUUAGGAUUAACUAGUAAUUAAGUUACUUUAAUAAGAGAAAAUUAACAAAAUUAGUCAUUUUUGCAUAAUUGUUUGCUUUCUCUUCUAACUAGGAUUUAGUCUAUGUUAGGAAUUAAUUAGUUUUAAUUUUAGAGUUUAAAUCAGGUCUUGUCUGUUUUAAUUUUGUACUUGAUAAAAUCUGGAAAAAAAAAUAAAUAAAGGAAGAAAAGAAGAAAACAAAUAAAGAAAUUAAAAAAUAGGAUUUUUUAACAAUUAAAUAGGUUGUAAUUGGGCCAAAAUUUCGAAGCCCAAACCCCAAACCCGUUCAAAUUGUCUAGUCCACAAAGCCACCCGGUCCAGCCCCUCUCCCCAUUGAAACGACGUCGUUUGGCUCCUUUUGAUCUGAGCCGUCGAGGAUACAUGAUCCAAUGGUUCAAAACUGGGUCAAAAUUAAUAUAAAAUGGUCAGAGCCCUACCCCAGCCCCCUCUUCGUCUCUCAGAAGCCCCAUUCACGAAUCCUAAUUCCCCACCACCCUCCACCGGCGGCAAAGUUGCAACUGCCUCCAAAAUUUCACCACAGCUUCGUCUCUUUCUCCCCAUCAUGAGUCCAUGACUAGUUCCCAUAAAAUCCUAACCAAAAACUUCAAAUAUGUCAAACCCUAGGCGCCGCCACCCAAACCAUACCAAAAUAGUACCCCCCCCCCCCNNNNNNNNNNNNNNNNNNNNNNNNNNNNNNNNNNNNNNNNNNNNNNNNNNNNNNNNNNNNNNNNNNNNNNNNNNNNNNNNNNNNNNNNNNNNNNNNNNNNNNNNNNNNNNNNNNNNNNNNNNNNNNNNNNNNNNNNNNNNNNNNNNNNNNNNNNNNNNNNNNNNNNNNNNNNNNNNNNNNNNNNNNNNNNNNNNNNNNNNNNNNNNNNNNNNNNNNNNNNNNNNNNNNNNNNNNNNNNNNNNNNNNNNNNNNNNNNNNNNNNNNNNNNNNNNNNNNNNNNCCCCCCCCAAUCCCCAAGCCACCCUAAGCCCCACACUCAUGGUUAUUUCAAAAAAUCCCAACCGGAUUUCUCCAAUUCCACAUCUAGGGUUCGCAUUUUGGAAGCGGUUGGCCAAGAAAUUGAGAUUCAAUUCUGCCUAUUCUCGGUAUCUUCUUUCCACCCAUUUGUAUUGCGUAUAUUUUCAGUCAUUUCAUCCUCUUUUUUCAUUCUCGGCUAGUUCAACUUAUAUGAUUCAGUCCUUAGCAUUCCUUUUGUUUUUCUUUCUAUGUUUGCUCGUCUCAAUUUUUCCUUUAUUUUUGUCUUUGAUUCAACCUCGUAUAUGUUCUCAUUAGAUUAAUGAUAGAAUUAGUUUUAGAAUCCCUAUUGAUUAGAUUAGAUUAGCUUAGAUGUUUUUCCCUUUAGUUUAAUUUUAGUUCUUUUAGUUUUUUAAUUUAUUUAAGGAUUUCUGAUCAAUCUUUCAAACUAGAAAUUUGGGUUUUGAAUCGAUUCCUAAAAUCAAUAAGCUUAUUUGAAUUGGGUCGUUUGGCUCAAACCUUUGUUUGAUAGACAUAGGUAAUUUUCGGGGGUUUAAGGGUAUAUUGGGUAGUUCUAAUUAGGGAAUCUUGAAAUAAUUGAAUUGGAAACCCCUAGAAUGUUCUAGAUGGGAUGUCAAUUACAGUCUCAGGAACUUAAGAGUUGUAACUUGGGCAACAAGUCAGAAAAUAAGGGACUAAUUGGGUAAAAUUGAAAAAUAAAAAAGGGACUAGGGGUGUAAAGCUGAAAAUCUGAGAGAAUCCUCAAGCUUGCCUAUAAAAGGCAUGCAUUCUGCCUUCAUUCACAAGUUUUGGAACACCUGAAAAAUUCCAAAAAAAAUUUAAGCAUCAAAAUCCCUUCCCUAAAAAGUUUCUACAAGAUUUACAAGCUAAAAAAAUGAAUUUCAAAUCUAACAAACUAGAUCUGAAAUUCUAAAGUCUCUUUAGAUCUUAGUCUUCAAAAACUAAAAAAUAUAUAACUGAAAACCCUAAAAAUACUGUUACAUGAAAUUCCCUUAAAUAAUUUUCGAGUUCUAGCUAUUAAUUCAAGUUUCUAGCCCAGUUAUUUUGCUGUCUGGUGGCUCUAUGCUCCUGUAAUCUAUUCCUGGACUGUUUUGAGCUUAUUCUGGGUUUGAGAUUGAUUUUGGUGCCGUUGUUGUAUUCCAAUUGUUGAUGAUUGUUGUCCCCACUGCUGACUCCUUAUCCUUUUACUUUCUUCAUUUCCAGGUACUUACUUAAUCUCCAAUGGCCACAAGUUAAGGAAACAUGUAACUGAAGUUUUGAUUUGAAAUAAAAGGCCGAUUUAAGUGCUCGAAUUGUUUAUAUGACAGAUUUCUCAUGUUAAUUUCAUGUUUAGCUUGAUCAUGUACAUGUCAAUUUAUAAUUUUGAUUUGAAAUAAAAGGCUGAUUUAAGUGCUCGAAUUGUCUAGAUUAUUGUUCAUUCAUAUGUAUCUUUUAUAUGACAAAUUUCUCAUGUUAAUUUCAUGUUUAGCUUGCUUAUUUACACGUUAGUUAAUAUGUUAGGCCAUGUAGUAGCAGCAUUUGAAACUUGGUGGAUUAGGACUUCUGACAAAUUUGUAUAACUGGAAUGUUCUUUCCUUAAUGUACUAGUUUGUUUUCAGUUAUAGUAUUUUGACUAGUUGGAACUUAAAGGAAUGCUAAUUGGAAUUACAGUAUUAGUGCAUAUUUAGCCUCAUGUCUUAUGUUGAUCAAGUGACUAGUCAUGUAUUUCAUUAAGCUUGAGAAUUUAAUAGCUCCACAUGAUUUGCUUUCAGUGGUGUAUUUCAGGGCGAGUAGUUGUUAGCAUGUGAAAUUAUCUCAAUAGUCUUCAAUUUCAAUUUAUGCCUUGUGUAAAUUAGAGUUUGAGCCAUGUCAUUAGCUCAUCAAUUACAG
RNAcentral lists this long non-coding RNA (17399 nucleotides) under Nicotiana benthamiana. Its description in RNAcentral is "long non-coding RNA (NBEN_LNC041677)". The record is from RNAcentral. Lineage: Eukaryota; Viridiplantae; Streptophyta; Magnoliopsida; Solanales; Solanaceae.